AGGAAGAAGAAGGUGGCAAAACUGUCUACAUGGUAACAGCCUGGAGAACUUAUUGACAGCCUUUUUCAAGACAUUUCAGUCUUCUCUAUAGGAUGCCAGUCAAUCACCUACGGAAAGGAAAUGUUCACAGGGCAAGCAAUGGACUAAAAGAAAAGGAAAGAAAAGCAAUACUUGUGCUGCAGAUAUCAUGACGGGUUCAUCUUCUGCUAGAGGCCAGAGAGGCAAAAGCAUGACUUUUCAGAAAAAGCAAGACUUACGAAAACCAAAGAAUGCUGUUGCACUGCUAAACAAGAUGAGCUCCAAGGUCUACGGAAUCUGGGCACAGAGGUAUGAUCACUUUGGGAGUUCUUGAAGAUCUGGACCUGACAGGGUCCGGCCCCUGCAACCAUGAAAACCGUAGUAUUCCAAGACACUAUCCACACAUCACUUAAUUGGAAACUCUACAAAAUGUAUGGUGGCGUCGUGAGGCUGUGUCCUUGUCUAGGAAUUUCCCUGUCAAGGCUAAGAAUUUUGGGAUGAGACUGUGAUUGGCAGGGGACCAGAGUGAUUGACCCUUAUCACCAGGGGCCCUUGAUAGCCCAUGGCAUUAAGUUUUAUUUCUGUGUUCAAUGUGCAAAUCGUUAAAGGCCAAGCCAGCAGGAUUGUAUAAUACCAGCAUUUCUUAUGGCUGUGGGAGGGGAAGAGGGAAUAGUUGCUUUUGCAGUGUUUCCUUAAGUAUAUGUGGACAUGGGGUGGCUGUCUGAAAAUUGCUCUUGUUCUUUCAGUCAGCAGAGAAGGGAACAUUUGUGUCCAGAACAGCAUCUUACCCUUGAUACACUUCUCCCUCAGUCCUGCCCACCAUUUGCCCUCUUCAAAUGGUUUUUGUUGUGGCAAUGCCGUGAUGAUUUCCAAGUCCACUGUGCCACAAACAGCAAGAGAUAAAAUAGCUUCUAUAUCAAAGUAUUCUUCCUUUCUGUCAGACACCUUGCUGUCCUUCUUCCAGGAGGAAGUCUUGGCGCGGCAUGGAGGAUAGAAUAUGGCUGAAAUUAAAUUUCUCUGCAGUUCAGGGCUUCUGGUUAGUCCUUGUGAUGUGAACAUCACAUUCAGACCUCCCUCUAUUUCUGCCAUACAUGAAUGGAGGGAAAGAGACCACAGGGGAGCACUGCAUGUGCAAGGGAACUCUCUUCGCUUCUAAACAUUUUCAUGUCUCCUUAUCUAAAGAAAUACAAGUAUGUGUACUUUACGCUUUCCUACUUUUGUGUGUUCAGGUUCUCUAUCUGAGAAGUAACUGUUUUAGGGCCAAUAGUUUUCUCAUCCUGAAGAUGGGAUUCUGUGUCCUAGAUAAGUUACUGGCACACUGCUUCUAGGAUUUCUCAGUGAGAAUCCAUUAGUGUGAAAGUGACUAAAGUUUAGCCUCUAAACUGUCUUAUUGUCCCUUCUAGCUUGAGUUCAAACAACACCACUCCUUAGUACCUGCAUAGUUUUGGGCCAAAUCACAAGACUUCUAAUUUACUAAUUCACCUUGUUUAUGACAGGAAAAGAUUGGAUUAAGUGUUCCCUAAACUGGUUUUUUCCUUUGGUUCGAAGUUUACUAUAUACUCCUUGUCUGUGGUUUGAAGACAAGAUGUCAUGAAAAUAAGGGUAGCCAAAUGUUUCAUAUAUUAAUGUCAUAGAUAAUGGUGACUGCAUAAGUGGAAGCAAGUUGCCUUAACUUUCCAGAGAUGUUAGGGACUGCUCUCUUUUCUUACCUUUACAUUCUUCCUUCCAACCCUUGUUUUGGGGGUUAUUACUUCAUGUACUAAUUAUACAACUAAGAAUAGGAAAGUUUGUUGUACUUGGUCAUUCUCUUAUUCAGAGGAGUUAAGGCUAUCAAGUUCCUCUAACAUUUAGCAGUUCUCCAUUAAUAAGCCAAAUGGUUCACGCCCCCUGCACUUUUAAAGGUCAAGCAGAAAAACCUGAGAUCCUCAAGUAGAGGCCCACCAGUAUCAGUGAAACCUUCAGACAUCUUGUAUUUCUGGGAAGAUACAGCUUUUUAAUAUUUGGGACUUGUUCUGUUCUUCAGGAGAAAAUUAAAUUUUUUUCGAGUUGGAGUCAAUUUUGACAGGCCUCCAUUUAUUAAGUCAAAUGGCUCACACUCCUGCCCUUUGACAAUUCAGGCCAAAGUGAUUUGGUUCCUGAAUUAGAAACCACAAUUUCAAGGAGAAUCCUUGAUUAAGUCUAGUAUUUCCAGGAAGUGACAGCUUUAUAAUACUGGAAAUUUCUUCUUCAUGAAAAGAACAGGUUCUUUUGACAUUGAGACACAUUUAGCAGUCCACAACUUCUUAAAGGGAAAUGGAGAAACAACUUUACAAUAUUGGCAGUUGUGUUUCCUUAAGAACAGGUUCUUUCAACAUUCAUUCAAAUUUCACAGUCUGUCAUUUCUUAAAUCAAAUGGUCUAGACAUUAGGUAUCAAGUAGCUGAUUGUCUCAAUGAGAGAUCAACAGAUGAAAGACAAUGCUUGACAUAUCUUGUGUUUCCUGGUAGAGAUUUCUUUCUGGUAUUGGGGAUUUGGUCUUCAGAACACUUAAGGCUUUGCAUUUCAUCUCCAAUUUAACAGUCCUCAAUUUCAUAAGGCAAAUCCUGAAAACUGCUGCCUUUUCAAAGUUCAAGCAAAAGGGCCCUAUUUUCUGAAUUAAAGGUCUCCAGUUUCAGGGAAAUUUAAAAUGACCUCUAUUCACUAGGAAAGAUAGCUUUUUGGUAUUUUGGAAUUUUGCUUCUUGAGAAAAACAGAACCCUUCCAGUUCCAUUGAACUUUAGCAGUCAGUCACUUCUGAAGUCAAAUGGGAACAACUUCAGACUCAAGUGGCUGAGUACCUCCACUAUAGACUACCCAUUCAGGGAGAAAUUUUGAGAUAUCUUACAUUUUUUGGGAGAGAUAGCAUUUUGAGAUUUUAGAAUUGUUCUUCUUGAGAAGAAUGUAUUCUUUGAAGUUCCACUGAACUUUAGCAGUCCAAGACUUCUUAAAUCAAAGGGAUACACUCCUCCCCUUCAAUACUUAAUACAAAAGUGCUUGAGCUGUUGAAGUAUACACCACCCUGUCAAGGAAAAUCUUUCAGAUGUCUUUUAUUUUUAGUGAUAGAGAUAGCAUUUUGGGAUUUUGGAACUGUUCUUUUGAGAAGAAACGAAUCUUUACAAUUCUAAAAACUUUUAGCAGUCCGCCAAUUUUUAAAUCAUAUGCUAGGCUCUUCAGGCUCAAGUGCCUGAGUUUCUCCACUAUCAAAUAAUGACCCAGGGAGAAUUUUUAAGAUAUCUUACAUUUCUUAGGAGAGAUUGCUUUUUGGGGUUUUAGAAGAGUUAUUCUGGGGAAGAACAGAAUCUUCCCAGUUUCACUAAACCUUUAGAUGUCUGGCAUUUCAUAAGUGAAAAGGAGUAUACUCCUGCCCUUCAACACUUCACCAAAAAGUGGCUAAGUGCUUGAAGUAUAUAGACUACCCUUUCAAGGAGAUAUAUUCACAUAUCUGUUAUUUUCAGGGAGAUGGCUUAUUAGGAUUUGGGAAUUUUUCUUCUUGAGAAGAAUGGAUUUGUUGCAGGUUCCCCCAAGUGUAAAAAUCCCUUUCUUUGUAAGUCAAAGGCUGCAGAAACCAAUUUUUAUAUAAUUCAGCCUGAAGGGAUUCGCUUCCAAAGGCAAAGAUCACCACAUCAAGGAUAUUCCUUGAUAUGUCUUCCAUUUCCAGUGAGAUAAAUCUUUUUAAUAUUGAGAAUUUUCUAACAUUGGAGAAGGAUAGCUUCCUUCAAUUUGGAGCCACAUUUUGAAAUCCCUGACUUCUUAAGUCCAAGGGUGUACACCUUUGGUUCCAUUGGGUAGCUUUAUCAAGUAGAACCCACCAGUUGAAUGAUAAUCCCUAAGAUGUCUUCAGGGAAGAGAUUGCUUUGUGCACUGAGCAUUUUGUCUGCUUCAAAGUACGUAAGGCUUUGCUGUUCCUGUCCAAUUUAGCAAUCCUAAGUUUGAGAAGUAAUAGUCUGAAAACUUAUUGUGAUUCAAUGUUCAUGCCAAAGGACCCUAGUUCCUGAAUGAGUGGCCUCCAUUUUCAGGAAAAUUUGGGGUGCUUUAUUCCCUGGGAGAGAUAGCUUUUUUAGAUUUUGGAAUUGUUGUUCUUCAGAAGAACAGAAUCUUUCCAGUUCCACUCCACACUUAGCUGCCCUGCCCUUCUUCAGUCAAAGGGGGGGGUAUACACUUGCCCUUAAAUACUUCAGCAACAAGUGGUUGGGUUUUUGAGAUAUAGACACCCUGUUUAAGGAGAUUUUUUUUGACAGAUCUUUUAUUUUCAGGGAGAGAUGGCUUAUUGGGAUUUGGGAUUUGUUAUUCUUGAGAAGAAUGGAUUCUUUGCAGAUUCUGCCAACUGUAAAAAUCCCUUUCUUUAUAAGUCAAAGGCUGCAGAAACCAACUUUUACAUAAGUCAGCUUGAAGGGACUCGCUUCCCAAGGUAAAGGUCACCACAUCAAAGAUAUUCUUUGAGGUGUCUUCCAUUUCCAGUGAGAUAAAUCUUUUUAAUAUUGGAAAUUUCUUCAUGUGGAUAAGAAUACCUAACUUCAACUUGGACCAAAAAUGUUGCAGUCCCUGACUUCUUAAGUCCAAGGGUGUACACCUUUGGAUGUAAUUACCUACCUGUAUCAAGUAGAGCCCACCAGUUGAAUAAUAAUCCCUAAGAUGUCUUCAGGGAAGAGAAUUCUUUGUGGCACUGAGCAUUUGGUCUCUUCAAAGUACAUAAGGCUUUGCCAUUCCUGUCCAAUUUAGCAAUCCUCAGUUUGAGAGGCAAUGUCAUGAAAACUGCUAGGGUUCAGUGUUCAAGCCAAAGGACCUUAGUUCCUGAAUGGGAGGCCUCCAUUUUCAGGAAAAUUUGGGGGGGUUGUGUAUUCCCUGGGAGAGAUAGAUUUUUGGUAUUUUGGAAUUGUUCUUUUGGAAAAGAACAGAAUCUUUCCAGUUCCACUCCAAACUUCGCAGCCCUGCCCUUCUUCAGUCAAAGGGGGUAUACACUUGCCCUUAAAUACUUCAGCAACAUGUGGUUGGGUUAUUUACAUAUAGACCCCCCCACUUUCGAGGAGAUUUUUUUGACAGAUCUUUUAUUUUCUGGGAGAGAUAGCUUAUUGGGAUUUGGAAUUUGUUCUACUUGAGGAGAGGGGAUUCUUUGCAGAUUCCGCCAAUUGUAAAAAUCCCUUUCUUUGUAAGUCAUGGGAUGCACAAACCAAUUUUUAUAUAAUUCAGCCUGAAAAGGCCCGGUUCCAAAUGUAAUGAUCACCCCAUCCAGGUUAUUCCUUGAGAUGUCCUCCAUUUCCAGGGGAAAUACAUCUUUUUAAUAUUGGGAAUUUCUUCAUGUGGAUAAAAAUACCUAACUUCAACUUGGCCCAAAAUGUUGCAGUCCUUGACUUUGUGAGUCCAAGGGUGUACACCUUUAGUUGCACUUGGAUAGCUUUAUGAAGUAGAGCCGAGCCCACCAGUUGAAUGAUAAUCCCUAAGAUGUCUUCAGGGAAGAGAUUGCUUUGUGCACUGAGCAUUUGAUCUUCUUCAAAGUACAUAAGGCUUUGCCGUUGCUGUCCAAUUUAGCAAUCAUAAGUUUGAGAGGUAAUAGCCUGAAAACUGCUUGCGGUUCGAUGUUUAUGCCAAAGGACCCUAGUUCCUGAAUGAGCGGCCUCCAUUUUCAAGAAGAUUUGGGGGUGUUUUGUAUUCCCUGGGAGAUAUGGGUUUUUGAGAUUUUGGAAUUGUUGUUCUUGAGAAGAACAAAAUCUUUCCUGUGAAGACAGUGUAUUUUAAAAUCAGCUAGAGUCAGGAAUUCAG
Molecule: long non-coding RNA, 5792 nt
Organism: Sarcophilus harrisii (Tasmanian devil)
Lineage: Eukaryota; Metazoa; Chordata; Mammalia; Dasyuromorphia; Dasyuridae
Exons: 3
Source: RefSeq, a predicted model, not a curated record